GGAGAUGUAAGUCAGUGUUAGAGCAUGUGCUUGGCAUGCACGAGAUCCUGAGUUCAAUCCCCAGUGCCUCCG
This 72-nucleotide transfer RNA is filed under the name Camelus bactrianus (Bactrian camel). It matches the Rfam family "tRNA". Rfam says of the family: Transfer RNA (tRNA) molecules are approximately 80 nucleotides in length. Their secondary structure includes four short double-helical elements and three loops (D, anti-codon, and T loops). The record is from Rfam by way of RNAcentral. Lineage: Eukaryota; Metazoa; Chordata; Mammalia; Artiodactyla; Camelidae. RNAcentral also lists the same sequence under 1 other name.